RNAcentral lists this long non-coding RNA (634 nucleotides) under Homo sapiens (human). RNAcentral describes it as "non-protein coding lnc-CRYBA4-52:21". The record is from RNAcentral. Lineage: Eukaryota; Metazoa; Chordata; Mammalia; Primates; Hominidae.
GCACCGGCCAGCUAGCCCCUUUGUGCGGCGGGGGCUGCGGAGUGCUCCCUCCAAGACCGGUUGCACCCCGCUUUCCUGGCCAGGACUCUGGGCGCGGUUGGAGGCAUCUGUCCACCCAUGUGGUUCCAGACACGUUCAUGUGGCCACCAUGACCCCGUCGGCAUCACAGGGGUAACCAAGAACGAGGGGAAAGGGUCACUGUGGAUCAAGCCAGGCUCCUCUGAGCAGUCCAGGGUCUAUUUACAGAGAGCAGCAAGUUCCUGGGACAGAGGAGACAGAAGGGAAUUUCCAGGUUCUUCAGGACGUUCACAACCACACUGAGAAGCAUCUUUGCAGAUAAGUAUUUAAACUUACCAGCCCAUAGCCUACCAGCCUGCCCUCUUCUGGUCUGUGCAGGAAAGUGUAGUAUCCUAGAAUGCCAAAGUGGGAGGGGAAAUGGGUGAUGUAGCUCAUUCUCUUUUCUACCUCUAUGGAAGAAAGAAAGAGCCUGUCCCCAUUUUGUGGGGUCCCAGAAAGGGUGAUUUUCACACUUCACAUUUGGCGUUAGGGCUAGUAUUUCACAAACAUUACCGUCUGGAACUUUUGAAGGCUGAGUUAAAUGACUUCAUCUUGUGUACUUGUAGAACUGCUAUUA